Molecule: transfer RNA, 90 nt
Filed under: Alphaproteobacteria bacterium
Lineage: Bacteria; Pseudomonadati; Pseudomonadota; Alphaproteobacteria
Also listed under: 1 other name
Description: tRNA-Ser
Rfam family: tRNA
About the family: Transfer RNA (tRNA) molecules are approximately 80 nucleotides in length. Their secondary structure includes four short double-helical elements and three loops (D, anti-codon, and T loops).
Source: RNAcentral
GGAGGAGUGGCCGAGUGGUCGAAGGCGCACGAUUGGAAAUCGUGUAGGGUGUUAAAGCCCUCACGGGUUCGAAUCCCGUCUCCUCCGCCA